Molecule: ribosomal RNA, 424 nt
Filed under: uncultured bacterium
Lineage: Bacteria
Description: bacterial SSU rRNA
Rfam family: Bacterial small subunit ribosomal RNA
Source: RNAcentral
AACGCGAAGAACCUUACCGAGGCUUGACAUCGGAUGAACAUCUAAGAAAUUAGGUUUUCCCGCAAGGGAACAUCCAGACAGGUGCUGCAUGGCUGUCGUCAGCUCGUGCCGUGAGGUGUUGGGUUAAGUCCCGCAACGAGCGCAACCCUCGUCGUGUGUUGGUCAGCAAUGAUCUCUCACACGAGACCGCCGAUGAGAAGUCGGAGGAAGGUGGGGAUGACGUCAAGUCAGCAUGGCCCUUACGUCUCGGGCUACACACGUGCUACAAUGGGCAGGACAACGAGCCGCAAGCUAGUGAUAGUAAGCCAAUCUCUUAAACCUGUCCCCAGUUCGGAUUGAAGGCUGCAACUCGCCUUCAUGAAGUCGGAAUCGCUAGUAACCGCAGAUCAGCUACGCUGCGGUGAAUACGUUCCCGGGCCUUGUA